RNAcentral lists this ribosomal RNA (493 nucleotides) under uncultured bacterium. Its description in RNAcentral is "partial 16S ribosomal RNA". It matches the Rfam family "Bacterial small subunit ribosomal RNA", at positions 28 to 507 of the family's 1533-position model. The record is from RNAcentral.
GACGAACGCUGGCGGUGUGCUUAACACAUGCAAGUGGUGCGACGAACCAGAGCUUGCUCUGGGGCAAAGCCGCGAACGGGUGAGUAACACGUGGGUAAUCUACCCCGAUGACCGGGACAACCCGAGGAAACUCGGGCUAAUACCGGAUGUGGUGCGGAGACAUAAGUCUCUUCACUAAAGGUAGCUUCGGCUUCCGCAUUGGGAGGGGCCCGCGGCCCACUAGCUUGUUGGUGGGGUCAAGGCCUACCAAGGCAACGAUGGGUAGCUGGUCUGAGAGGACGAUCAGCCACACUGGGACUGAGACACGGCCCAGACUCCUACGGGAGGCAGCAGUGGGGAAUCUUGCGCAAUGCGCGAAAGCGUGACGCAGCAACACCGCGUGAGGGAAGAAGGCCUUAGGGUUGUAAACCUCUUUCAGAUGGGACGAAGGUUCUCCGGUGAAUAGCCGAGAGGAUUGACGGUACCGCCAGAAGAAGCUCCGGCUAACUACGUG